RNAcentral lists this ribosomal RNA (478 nucleotides) under uncultured bacterium. Its description in RNAcentral is "partial 16S ribosomal RNA". It matches the Rfam family "Bacterial small subunit ribosomal RNA", at positions 28 to 523 of the family's 1533-position model. The record is from RNAcentral.
GACGAACGCUGGCGGCGUGCUUAACACAUGCAAGUCGAACGGUAAGGCCCUUCGGGGUACACGAGUGGCGAACGGGUGAGUAACACGUGGGUGAUCUGCCCUGCACUUCGGGAUAAGCCUGGGAAACUGGGUCUAAUACCGGAUAGGACUCCGGACUGCAUGGUCUGGGGUGGAAAGCUUUUGCGGUGUGGGAUGGGUCCGCGGCCUAUCAGCUGGUUGGUGGGGUGAUGGCCUACCAGGGCGACGACGGGUAGCCGGCCUGGGAGGGUGACCGGCCACACGGGGACUGAGAGACGGCCCAGACUCCUACGGGAGGCAGCAGUGGGGAAUAUUGCACAAUGGGCGCAAGCCUGAGGCAGCGACGCCGCGUGAGGGAUGACGGCCUUCGGGUUGUAAACCUCUUUCAGCAUCGACGAAGCGAAAGUGACGGUAGGUGCAGAAGAAGGACCGGCCAACUACGUGCCAGCCGCCGCCGUAA